This 504-nucleotide ribosomal RNA is filed under the name uncultured bacterium. RNAcentral describes it as "partial 16S ribosomal RNA". It matches the Rfam family "Bacterial small subunit ribosomal RNA", at positions 29 to 523 of the family's 1533-position model. The record is from RNAcentral.
AUUGAACGCUGGCGGCAGGCCUAACACAUGCAAGUCGAGCGGUAGCACAGAGAGCUUGCUCUCGGGUGACGAGUGGCGGACGGGUGAGUAACGUCUGGGAAACUGCCCGAUGGAGGGGGAUAACUACUGGAAACGGUAGCUAAUACCGCAUAACGUCGCAAGACCAAAGUGGGGGACCUUCGGGCCUCACACCAUCGGAUGUGCCCAGAUGGGAUUAGCUAGUAGGUGGGGUAAUGGCUCACCUAGGCGACGAUCCCUAGCUGGUCUGAGAGGAUGACCAGCCACACUGGAACUGAGACACGGUCCAGACUCCUACGGGAGGCAGCAGUGGGGAAUAUUGCACAAUGGGCGCAAGCCUGAUGCAGCCAUGCCGCGUGUAUGGAGAAGGCCUUCGGGUUGUAAAGUACUUUCAGCGGGGAGGAAGGCGGUGAAGUUAAUAGCUUCACCGAUUGACGUUACCCGCAGAAGAAGCACCGGCUAACUCCGUGCCAGCCGCCGCCGUAA